AUGGCCAGUGAGUUGGUUGCCCCUUCGGGAGGAAAGUCCGGACUCCGCAGGAUAAUGUGCCUUUUGAAAAAGAGGAUCCUAUAUUUAGGAAUGGAAAGUGCAACAGAAAACAGACCGCUUAAUUAUUUGUAAUUAAGUAAGGGUGAAAAGGUAGUGUAAGAGACUACCAUUAAUAUUGGUAACAAUAUUAAUUUGUAAACCCCACAUGGAGCAAGAUCAAGUAACCAAGUGUUAUCCGCAUGUUUAUGGUGGGUGGAUCGCAGGUGUUAUUCUAAUAGUGCUUUUAAAGCACAUUAUUAUUUUAGCCUAGAUGAAUAACCAACAUCGAUUUUUCGAUACAGAAUUCGGCUUAUGAUCUGGCCUAUAUU
Molecule: RNase P RNA, 368 nt
Filed under: Fidelibacterota bacterium
Lineage: Bacteria; Pseudomonadati; Fidelibacterota
Description: RNase P RNA component class A
Rfam family: Bacterial RNase P class A
About the family: Ribonuclease P (RNase P) is a ubiquitous endoribonuclease, found in archaea, bacteria and eukarya as well as chloroplasts and mitochondria.
Source: RNAcentral